GUCUAUGGCCGUGCCACCCUGAACAAGCCCAAUGUCUGAUCUCGGAAGCUAAGCAGGGUCGGGCCUGGUUAGUAUUUGGAUAGAAGACCACCUAGGAAGACCAGGUGCUGUAGGCA
This 116-nucleotide ribosomal RNA is filed under the name Pteropus alecto (black flying fox). The record is from RNAcentral. Lineage: Eukaryota; Metazoa; Chordata; Mammalia; Chiroptera; Pteropodidae.